UACGAAGGGGGCUAGCGUUGCUCGGAAUCACUGGGCGUAAAGGGUGCGUAGGCGGGUCUUUUAAGUCAGGGGUGAAAUCCUGGAGCUCAACUCCAGAACUGCCUUUGAUACUGAAGAUCUUGAGUUCGGGAGAGGUGAGUGGAACUGCGAGUGUAGAGGUGAAAUUCGUAGAUAUUCGCAAGAACACCAGUGGCGAAGGCGGCUCACUGGCCCGAUACUGACGCUGAGGCACGAAAAGCGUGGGGAGCAAACAGG
Molecule: ribosomal RNA, 255 nt
Filed under: uncultured bacterium
Lineage: Bacteria
Description: partial 16S ribosomal RNA
Rfam family: Bacterial small subunit ribosomal RNA
Source: RNAcentral